UCAACAAAUGAAAAAUAGUACCACAUUUUAAUUUCUAUUUGAAUAUAAAAAAUUAAACACAUGCUUAUUGGACCUAUGUAUUUCUUUUUAUUCAAGAACUCUAUCCAAUAUAUACACAUUUUCCUUUUGGCUUUUGUCAUUUGUGUAUUUAAGACUUUGAAUAAUGUUUUUAAAUGAUAUUAACUUUAAUCUUUCAUACACCUUUCAGAAAUUUACUAUUCGUAUUUUGUUUUGUGUAUUUUGUAACACACAAGUUGUAAAUGAUUAUGUAUUGUUUUUCUGUUCAGUUCCAUCUUUCAUUUUUAUGCUUAACAAUGUCUUCUUAGUCAUAUAUGCCCGCCUACAUUUUCUUCUAGUUCUUUCAUUAGAUAUAUCUAGUAUUAAUUCAUCACCCAUUUGAUGCAUGGUAUUUUUUUUUCAUGAUGGGGACAUGAAGUAAAUAUUCUGAUUUUUAAAUGUUUCCAUUAUAAUUGGCUACCAUUGUCAAUUUUCUUAUUGAUUCUGAUACUUGUUCAGUUUCUUAGUUUUCCAGGUAAUAAUUUAUCUGCAAGUCAGUGUAACUUAAUUAUUUAUUUUUUAAUAGCUCAGUAUUCUCAUUGCCUUUUGUUGUUUCAUUGAGAACUUCCAGUACAAUGUUAGGAGGGGGAAAAAAACAAUGGGAAUGGCACCAAUCCUUCUCUUGUUCAUCUUUAUAUUCCUUAGAACAUACGGAAUGCGUUCUGACAUAGAACUUAUUGAAGAGUAAUUUGGAAUUUUCUGAUGAAUCAACCGUUGUCUUUAAUCUUCACAAGUUUGAAAGGUAUACGUUAUUGUUCCCAUUUCCCAGAUGGAGAAAUUGAGGUUCAGGAAGGUUACACAAAGUCCCGGGUCUAAGAAAAAUGUCUCCCAGAUUCCAAAAGAUGUGUCUAUUUUGCUAAUAGUGGCCAUUCAAGCAUUAGGGGAAAGGUUGCCCGUGGUAUCGCUGGUGUUUCUUCUUCCCACUUUCAAAUCUAGAAUAGUAAAAUAGCAAAAAUCCCAACGGGCAUGAGAGUUACCAUAGUAGAUAGGGUAGGUUGGUUCUCUGCUGUGGUCAACGUCAGCUCUGUGGCGAGGCGGGUUCUCCCAACAAUAGUCCACACCAUUUCCAGGCUUUUCUCGGCGACGGGCAGCCCAGAGUGCGGAACUUCUCUGGAUGCGCCCGGCCCCCAAAGCGAGGAGACAAGACAGCCCCGAUUCUCCGCAGCCCCAGGUUUACUCGUCAAGGACCGAGGGGCCUCUCAGCUCCGACCGCCUCCUCUCCGCCCCCUGCAGGCCGGCCGGAGGGACAGCUCAGGGCCCAGGUCGGCGAAGGGAGCACGGAACCAAAGAGCGCUAG
Molecule: long non-coding RNA, 1354 nt
Filed under: Macaca fascicularis (crab-eating macaque)
Lineage: Eukaryota; Metazoa; Chordata; Mammalia; Primates; Cercopithecidae
Description: lncRNA (ENSMFAG00000049175.1)
Source: RNAcentral